RNAcentral lists this ribosomal RNA (305 nucleotides) under uncultured bacterium. RNAcentral describes it as "bacterial SSU rRNA". It matches the Rfam family "Bacterial small subunit ribosomal RNA", at positions 337 to 659 of the family's 1533-position model. The record is from RNAcentral.
UCCUACGGGACGCAGCAGUGGGGGAUAUUGCACAAUGGAGGAAACUCUGAUGCAGCGACGCCGCGUGAGGGAAGACGGUCUUCGGAUUGUAAACCUCUGUCUUUGGGGAAGAAAAUGACGGUACCUGAAGAAGAAGCCCCGGCUAACUACGUGCCAGCAGCCGCGGUAAUACGUAGGGGGCAAGCGUUAUCCGGAUUUACUGGGUGUAAAGGGGGCGCAGACGGCGAUGCAAGCCAGGAGUGAAAGCCCGGGGCCCAACCCCGGGACUGCUCUUGGAACUGCGUGGCUAGAGUGCAGGAGGGGCG